RNAcentral lists this ribosomal RNA (819 nucleotides) under uncultured Actinomycetes bacterium. Its description in RNAcentral is "bacterial SSU rRNA". It matches the Rfam family "Bacterial small subunit ribosomal RNA", at positions 335 to 1167 of the family's 1533-position model. The record is from RNAcentral. Lineage: Bacteria; Bacillati; Actinomycetota; Actinomycetes.
ACUCCUACGGGAGGCAGCAGUGGGGAAUAUUGCACAAUGGGCGGAAGCCUGAUGCAGCGACGCCGCGUGAGGGAUGACGGCCUUCGGGUUGUAAACCUCUUUCAGCAGGGACGAAGCGAGAGUGACGGUACCUGCAGAAGAAGCGCCGGCCAACUACGUGCCAGCAGCCGCGGUAAGACGUAGGGCGCGAGCGUUGUCCGGAUUUAUUGGGCGUAAAGAGCUCGUAGGCGGCUUGUCGCGUCGACUGUGAAAACUCAGGGCUCAACCCUGAGCUUGCAGUCGAUACGGGCAGGCUCGAGUUCGGUAGGGGAGACUGGAAUUCCUGGUGUAGCGGUGAAAUGCGCAGAUAUCAGGAGGAACACCGGUGGCGAAGGCGGGUCUCUGGGCCGAUACUGACGCUGAGGAGCGAAAGCGUGGGGAGCGAACAGGAUUAGAUACCCUGGUAGUCCACGCUGUAAACGUUGGGCGCUAGGUGUGGGGGGCCUCUCCGGUUCUCUGUGCCGCAGCUAACGCAUUAAGCGCCCCGCCUGGGGAGUACGGCCGCAAGGCUAAAACUCAAAGGAAUUGACGGGNGCCCGCACAAGCGGCGGAGCAUGCGGAUUAAUUCGAUGCAACGCGAAGAACCUUACCUGGGUUUGACAUCGCCGGAAAUCUCGCAGAGAUGCGGGGUCCUUCGGGGCCGGUGACAGGUGGUGCAUGGCUGUCGUCAGCUCGUGUCGUGAGAUGUUGGGUUAAGUCCCGCAACGAGCGCAACCCUCGUUCGAUGUUGCCAGCGCGUUAUGGCGGGGACUCAUCGAAGACUGCCGGGGUCAACUCGGA